Leopardus geoffroyi (Geoffroy's cat) is the source of this 1966-nucleotide long non-coding RNA. RefSeq lists it as uncharacterized. The record is from RefSeq and is a predicted model, not a curated record. The transcript is spliced from 2 exons. Lineage: Eukaryota; Metazoa; Chordata; Mammalia; Carnivora; Felidae.
UCAAAAUGAGGAGGUAUAAACAUUUCUUUUUUUUCCCCCUUUUUUCCCCCACCCCCACACUGUCGGCUUUCAAAGCCCAGUAUUCUGUUGCUUGUGAUAGAAGACUAACAAGACAUUUUGAUAGAAGACAUUUUGUUGUGUUUCUGCACAAACAAAAAUGAGUUAUAAAAAAGAAUCCCGGAAGAAUGAUUUCCAUUUCAAACACCUGAGAGAUCAUUUACGCUGAGGAGUCCUGUUGAUCACGUGGUGUCUGUUGGCCUCACUGAUUUUGAUGGCAUAGGUAUAAGAGUAAAUGAAGAGGCGGUCUACGUGGUGUGGUUUUAAGGGUGGAUGCCAGAAAUUCCACCAGGAAAGCUUUCUUUUUGUCUUUCACAUCUUUGCUCCUUUUAAACUUGCAAAUAACCCUCCACAGCACAGACAUUUGGUGGACACAUCAAUCAUUGGUCUAUUGGUGAUAGUGGAAGACCUGGGAGCUUCAGGCCUUGGACGGGAACUGGCAAGAGGAAUAGGGAGAAGACAGAUUCAGAGGAAAGCAUGUACCCGAGGAGCGUGGGGCAGACAGAAGAUUAUCCUGGAGAAACCAAGCAUCUCUGAACCUAGCCUACCUCCGGUUUGGGCUGUGCUCCCUCCUACAUACGGUCCUGUGAUUAACCAAGUCUAUCAUGUGAAAGGGGUAGAGCUUCUGUAGACACGGUGACCACAGGCUUUUAAUGAAAACCCCCUUGUGAUAAAACCACAGUCAUAUGCAACAAAUUAAAUCGUAACAAGGCAUUGGAAAAGAUGUUUUCAGCGAUGAAAACAUUACUAUUAGGAAGACCACGUAAUUUGUCAUUCAGAUGAAGACCCAAAAAGGCUACCAUUUAUAUCAAGAUGGCUAGACAUACAGAUGAACUGCGUUAUCCUAUGUAAGCAUCCAUUUUUAGCCAUGAAGAACCAUUAUUAUCUUUCUGGUAUAUUGGAUAAUUAAUUUUCUUCUUCAGUUGUCCUUGAGAGUUGAGUGAUUGAUUCCUAGCUACUACUGUUUACAAAUGGUAUUUGUUUUCUAGCUCCUGAUCUAGUCUGCCAUGAUGUAUUAGCUGCCUAGUUAACUCAAUAAACUCUUCACUGAUAGCGGACCUUGCUUGGGGUGACCAGUGGCAGGCCCAUGCACCUGCAAAAGUUAGGUGCUUCUCCAACAGGAAGGCAGUUCUUAUAUACACGAUAAGGAUUGCUCCUGGAAGACUUUGCCACAAGAAAGAUCUGAAAAGGAGGCUGAGUCCUUGCAGGAGGAAAGAAAAGCUUUUCAAGCAGUGAAGGAAAAUGCUGAGUAAGAGAGAAUGGAAAGAGGCUUCGUAAAACCUCUGUGACCAAAAGAGUGAUUGGCUUAUUUAUUUUACAAAGAUAUGCUAUAGUUUUAUUUCCACGCUUCCCCAAGUUGCAUUGGACCAAUUCCCAUGAUGCCAAGCUCUGACUACUCCUCUUCCUCUACUUAAAAAGUAAAGACCGUGUGACGUUGUCGUCCCCAGGGAGAGACCUUCAUGUCCCAAGGACAGGAUCCGUCACUGGGAAUAGAUUGUGAAUCACAUGAAGCAGUUGCUUGACCUGUUUUGAUUUUGUUUGCUCUGCUUAGGAAAUAGAGUAUCACUCAGGAAGUUCUAAGGUUUACCCUCCUGAGCUAAUAUAAGAAGAACAACAUCAACAACAGCAGUGCUGAGAAUGGUGCAUGGAUUUCAAUAUAAUGACCUGCAAACACUUUUCAUUCUAUGCUAUGCUUUUUGUCAAAAAAGCAGAGGGAGCAUUUUAAUGCGAUCACAUGCACAUACCAGGCCCUGAUUUCCCUAAAUUGCACUUACUAAAUGGAAUUUCUCUCCCAAAGCACAGCCCCAUUUCCCCCUAAGGGACAUGCUAUUUAAAUUCUCCAGUGAAACUUGAUUCUGUACAGUUCAAGGUUGAGCCAAAGCUGUAAUAAAUCCACCUUUAAACACUU